Long non-coding RNA from Balaenoptera acutorostrata (minke whale), 316 nucleotides. RefSeq lists it as uncharacterized. The transcript is spliced from 3 exons. The record is from RefSeq and is a predicted model, not a curated record. NCBI's taxonomy places the organism in Eukaryota, Metazoa, Chordata, Mammalia, Artiodactyla, Balaenopteridae.
AGCCUAGCAUGGAAGCUGCCUGUCUUUGAGAAGCUAGACCUGGAGAUAGAAACAGUGACCACAAUGGACUGAAGAGCCAAAGAAACUCUAAAAUGAUUAGAAGAAAUUAAUAAAAGUGACUACCUGUUGGAGUGGUGAUGGGAACUGGGUGAGCCGUUAUAGAGGCAGCAUGUACCCCAUCUCGAGCGGCGAGAGUGGCACCACAAGCUCCUUCCCCAGGAACUACACUCUGCAUCUCAGCGUCAAGCUGCCAUCCCUUUGUGUCUGUGAGCAUCUGUGUUUUAUCUCCAUUUAUUUUGUGCGUCCCUGUCAGCAA